This 492-nucleotide ribosomal RNA is filed under the name uncultured bacterium. Its description in RNAcentral is "partial 16S ribosomal RNA". It matches the Rfam family "Bacterial small subunit ribosomal RNA", at positions 29 to 507 of the family's 1533-position model. The record is from RNAcentral.
AGUGAACGCUGGCGGUAGGCCUAACACAUGCAAGUCGAACGGCAGCACAGUAAGAGCUUGCUCUUACGGGUGGCGAGUGGCGGACGGGUGAGGAAUACAUCGGAAUCUACUUUUUCGUGGGGGAUAACGUAGGGAAACUUACGCUAAUACCGCAUACGCCCUACGGGUGAAAGCAGGGGAUCUUCGGACCUUGCGCGAUUGAAUGAGCCGCUGUCGGAUUAGCUAGUUGGCGGGGUAAAGGCCCACCAAGGCGACGAUCCGUAGCUGGUCUGAGAGGAUGAUCAGCCACACUGGAACUGAGACACGGUCCAGACUCCUACGGGAGGCAGCAGUGGGGAAUAUUGGACAAUGGGCGCAAGCAUGAUCCAGCCAGACCGCGUGGGUGAAGAAGGCCUUCGGGUUGUAAAGCCCUUUUGUUGGGAAAGAAAAGCAGCAGGUUAAUACCACGCUGUUCUGACGGUACCCAAAGAAUAAGCACCGGCUAGCUUCGUG